This is an RNA transcript of Malus domestica (apple), 832 nucleotides long. It is a transcript of the gene named protein NONRESPONDING TO OXYLIPINS 2, mitochondrial, with no coding region annotated. The record is from RefSeq and is a predicted model, not a curated record. NCBI's taxonomy places the organism in Eukaryota, Viridiplantae, Streptophyta, Magnoliopsida, Rosales, Rosaceae.
UACCCGAUGAAUCGCUAAGAAUCCAACGGUGAAAGACUGUCGUACAACUGCGCCACGCCAUUCCUCACAAAGCAAAACCCUCACAAAGCCCUCUCUCGCCACUAUCGGCAAACAGUAACUCGGAAAAUGGCUUGGCGCUCAGCUGGUUCGCUGUCUCGGUCAUUGGUGUCCAACGCAAGGGUUUCGUCGCUCCGCUCGGCGCCCCCUCUCCGUCGCUUCCGCCCGCCGUCGCUCUCCACUCCUCGUCGCCUCUUCGCUUCUCCCAGGAACUUGGGUGAACUGGGAUGCAUACAAUCGCUUUUGCCAAUGCACCGCAUGACGGCUGCAACCUGCCUCACAUCUCACCUGGCUGCCAACGUGCGGGGUUGUUGCGAGUUGUCACACGGUACCUUCUGCCGCACUUGUCAGGAUCGCUAGUAGUCCCUUUGGAGGAAUGGAAAAGAUGGGUGACGCGCAAGGACGUCCAAUCAUCCAAUGGCGGCAGAAGAAUGAUCAAUUGGUGGACUUGAAGGGACUUUUGGAUCAGCAUAGUUGAGUGCAACUCAACAUUGUGGGUGAUCGUAGAGUUUGGAUGUAUCCCGUAGGAACAAGUGCUUUUGGAUCAGGAAAACUUAGUAGGAGCACGUCUUUUUGAAAAUAUCUUCAUAAUAAGAAACAUGGUAGUUCAUCUGAUUUGAUGACGGUUCCUAGGUGUCCGGACUUCAUUACUUGUACGUGGUAAAUUUCUUUGUCUCGUAAGCUGUGAUUAAAUGUUUCAACGUUAAUAUGUUGAUUAUCAACCUAUAUUAGUCUUUGCUCUUUUAAAUAAUAAUGUCAGUUCUGAUAAAUUGCA